RNAcentral lists this small RNA (127 nucleotides) under Marmota monax (woodchuck). The record is from RNAcentral. Lineage: Eukaryota; Metazoa; Chordata; Mammalia; Rodentia; Sciuridae.
GCUGGGCAGGGUGGUGCACGCCUGUAAUCCCAGCAACUCAGGAGGCUGAGGCAGGAGGAUCACAAGUUCAAAGCCCUUCUCAGCAACUUAGUGAGGCCCUAAGCAACUUAGUGAUAUUCUGUCUCUA